This 821-nucleotide ribosomal RNA is filed under the name uncultured bacterium. Its description in RNAcentral is "bacterial SSU rRNA". It matches the Rfam family "Bacterial small subunit ribosomal RNA", at positions 96 to 914 of the family's 1533-position model. The record is from RNAcentral.
CGGCGGACGGGUGAGUAAUGCCUAGGAAUCUGCCUGGUAGUGGGGGACAACGUCUCGAAAGGGACGCUAAUACCGCAUACGUCCUACGGGAGAAAGCAGGGGACCUUCGGGCCUUGCGCUAUCAGAUGAGCCUAGGUCGGAUUAGCUAGUUGGUGAGGUAAUGGCUCACCAAGGCGACGAUCCGUAACUGGUCUGAGAGGAUGAUCAGUCACACUGGAACUGAGACACGGUCCAGACUCCUACGGGAGGCAGCAGUGGGGAAUUUUGGACAAUGGGCGAAAGCCUGAUCCAGCAAUGCCGCGUGAGUGAAGAAGGCCUUCGGGUUGUAAAGCUCUUUUGUCAGGGAAGAAACGGUGAAGGCUAAUAUCCUUCGCUAAUGACGGUACCUGAAGAAUAAGCACCGGCUAACUACGUGCCAGCAGCCGCGGUAAUACGUAGGGUGCAAGCGUUAAUCGGAAUUACUGGGCGUAAAGCGUGCGCAGGCGGUUUUGUAAGUCUGACGUGAAAUCCCCGGGCUCAACCUGGGAAUUGCGUUGGAGACUGCAAGGCUAGAAUCUGGCAGAGGGGGGUAGAAUUCCACGUGUAGCAGUGAAAUGCGUAGAGAUGUGGAGGAACACCGAUGGCGAAGGCAGCCCCCUGGGUCAAGAUUGACGCUCAUGCACGAAAGCGUGGGGAGCAAACAGGAUUAGAUACCCUGGUAGUCCACGCCCUAAACGAUGUCUACUAGUUGUCGGGUUUUAAUUAACUUGGUAACGCAGCUAACGCGUGAAGUAGACCGCCUGGGGAGUACGGUCGCAAGAUUAAAACUCAAAGGAAUUGAC